GCAAGUCGAACGAAUGUCAGUUUUGUAGCAAUACCGAGCUGGCGGAAGUGGCGAAAGGGGCAGUAAUGCAUGGGUAACCUACCUUGGGGAUGGGGAUAGCCGUUCUAACGAGCGGGUAAUACCCAGAGAUUCAGCGGGAGGGCAUCCUUCUGUUGGGAAAUGAAUUUCGCCUCGAGAGGGGCCCAUGUGCUAUUAGCUAGUUGGCGGGGUAACGGCCCACCAAGGCUAAGAUGGCUAGCGGGUGUGAGAGCACGACCCGCGCCACUGGCACUGAGACACUGGCCAGACACCUACGGGUGGCUGCAGUCGAGGAUCUUCGUCAAUGGGCGCAAGCCUGAACGAGCGACGCCGCGUGCGCGAUGAAGGCCUUCGGGUUGUAAAGCGCGAAAGUGGGGAGAAAGCCGAAAGGUUGAUCAAUCCACAGUAAGGACGGGCUAAGUUCGUGCCAGCAGCCGCGGUAAGACGAACUGUCCUAACGUUGUUCGGAAUCACUGGGCUUAAAGGGCGCGUAGGCGGUCGAUCAAGUCAGGGGUGAAAUCCUGCAGCUUAACUGGAGAAGUGCCUCUGAUACUGAUCGUCUGGAGGGAGAUAGGGGUGUGUGGAACUUCCAGUGGAGCGGUGAAAUGCGUU
RNAcentral lists this ribosomal RNA (630 nucleotides) under uncultured Planctomycetota bacterium. RNAcentral's name for it is "bacterial SSU rRNA". It matches the Rfam family "Bacterial small subunit ribosomal RNA", at positions 57 to 692 of the family's 1533-position model. The record is from RNAcentral. Lineage: Bacteria; Pseudomonadati; Planctomycetota.